GCACUUGCUGCUGGAGCUGAAGUCAGCCGCAGUGACCAGGUGGCUGGGACUGUUUAUUAAAAACACAGCACUGUGCAAAAUCGUAAGAUGACGUAUACGGUGUGACACCUGCCCGGUGCCGGAAGGUUAAUUGAUGGGGUUAGACGUAAGUCGAAGCUCUUGAUCGAAGCCCCGGUAAACGGCGGCCGUAACUAUAACGGUCCUAAGGUAGCGAAAUUCCUUGUCGGGUAAGUUCCGACCUGCACGAAUGGUGUAACCAUGGCCACGCUGUCUCCACCCGAGACUCAGUGAAAUUGAAAUCGCAGUGAAGAUGCUGUGUACCCGCGGCUAGACGGAAAGACCCCGUGAACCUUUACUACAGCUUGGCACUGAACAUUGACCCUACAUGUGUAGGAUAGGUGGGAGGCUUUGAAGCACAGACGCUAGUUUGUGUGGAGCCGACCUUGAAAUACCACCCUUGUAGUGUUGAUGUUCUAACUUAGGUCCCUGAUCGGGAUUGAGGACAGUGCCUGGUGGGUAGUUUGACUGGGGCGGUCUCCUCCCAAAGAGUAACGGAGGAGCACGAAGGUUGGCUAAGUACGGUCGGACAUCGUACGGUUAGUGUAAUGGUAGAAGCCAGCUUAACUGCGAGACAGACACGUCGAGCAGGUACGAAAGUAGGUCAUAGUGAUCCGGUGGUUCUGAAUGGAAGGGCCAUCGCUCAACGGAUAAAAGGUACUCCGGGGAUAACAGGCUGAUACCGCCCAAGAGUUCAUAUCGACGGCGGUGUUUGGCACCUCGAUGUCGGCUCAUCACAUCCUGGGGCUGAAGUCGGUCCCAAGGGUAUGGCUGUUCGCCAUUUAAAGUGGUACGCGAGCUGGGUUUAGAACGUCGUGAGACAGUUCGGUCCCUAUCUGCCGUGGGCGUUUGAGAAUUGAGAGGGGCUGCUCCUAGUACGAGAGGACCGGAGUGGACGAACCGCUGGUGUUCGGGUUGUGAUGCCAAUUGCAUUGCCCGGUAGCUACGUUCGGAAUCGAUAACCGCUGAAAGCAUCUAAGCGGGAAGCGAGCCUCGAGAUGAGUUCUCACUUUAACUUUAAGUUAACUGAAGGGCCGUUGAAGACUACAACGUUGAUAGGCUGGGUGUGGAAGUGUAGUGAUACAUUAAGCUAACCAGUACUAAUUACCCGUGAGGCUUAACCAUACAACGCCAAAGUGGUUU
RNAcentral lists this ribosomal RNA (1200 nucleotides) under Pseudoalteromonas caenipelagi. Its description in RNAcentral is "Pseudoalteromonas sp. JBTF-M23 partial 23S ribosomal RNA". It matches the Rfam family "Bacterial large subunit ribosomal RNA", at positions 1752 to 2925 of the family's 2925-position model. The record is from RNAcentral. Lineage: Bacteria; Pseudomonadati; Pseudomonadota; Gammaproteobacteria; Alteromonadales; Pseudoalteromonadaceae.